GAUGAAGAACGUAGCAAAAUGCGAUAAGUAAUGUGAAUUGCAGAAUUCAGUGAAUCAUCGAAUCUUUGAACGCACAUUGCGCCCGCCAGUAUUCUGGCGGGCAUGCCUGUUCGAGCGUCAUUUCAACCCUCAAGCACAGCUUGGUGUUGGGACUCGCGUUAAUUCGCGUUCCCCAAAUUGAUUGGCGGUCACGUCGAGCUUCCAUAGCGUAGUAGUAAAACCCUCGUUACUGGUAAUCGUCGCGGCCACGCCGUUAAACCCCAACUUCUGAAUUUUGACCUCGGAUCAGGUAGGAAUACCCGCUGAACUUAAGCAUAUCAAUAAGCGGAGGA
This 332-nucleotide unclassified non-coding RNA is filed under the name soil metagenome. RNAcentral's name for it is "partial contains 5.8S ribosomal RNA, internal transcribed spacer 2, and large subunit ribosomal RNA". The stretch from base 1 to 120 matches the Rfam family "5.8S ribosomal RNA", at positions 35 to 154 of the family's 154-position model. The record is from RNAcentral.